AGCUUUGUGCAGUGGCUGUAUCGUAGCCAAUGAGGUUUAUCUGAGGCGCGAUUAUUACUAAUUGAAAACUUUUCCCAAUACCCCACUGUGACGUCCUGCCAUAUAGUCGGCACUGGCAAUUUUUGACAGUCUCUACGGAGA
RNAcentral lists this small nuclear RNA (141 nucleotides) under Aotus nancymaae (Ma's night monkey). RNAcentral describes it as "U4 spliceosomal RNA (ENSANAG00000011691.1)". It matches the Rfam family "U4 spliceosomal RNA". Rfam says of the family: U4 small nuclear RNA (U4 snRNA) is a component of the major U2-dependent spliceosome. The structure of U4 snRNA from yeast and human has been reported. Lineage: Eukaryota; Metazoa; Chordata; Mammalia; Primates; Aotidae. The record is from Rfam by way of RNAcentral.